AUGAACGCUGGCGGCAGGCCUAACACAUGCAAGUCGAACGCCCCGCAAGGGGAGUGGCAGACGGGUGAGUAACACGUGGGAACGUACCCUUUGGUUCGGAACAACUCCGGGAAACUGGAGCUAAUACCGAAUAAGCCCUACGGGGGAAAGAUUUAUCGCCGAAGGAUCGGCCCGCGUCGGAUUAGCUAGUUGGUGGGGUAAAAGCCUACCAAGGCGACGAUCCGUAGCUGGUCUGAGAGGAUGACCAGCCACACUGGGACUGAGACACGGCCCAGACUCCUACGGGAGGCAGCAGUGGGGAAUAUUGGACAAUGGGCGCAAGCCUGAUCCAGCCAUGCCGCGUGAGUGAUGAAGGCCUUAGGGUUGUAAAGCUCUUUCGCCAGGGACGAUAAUGACGGUACCUGGAUAAGAAGCCCCGGCUAACUUCGU
Molecule: ribosomal RNA, 429 nt
Filed under: uncultured bacterium
Lineage: Bacteria
Description: bacterial SSU rRNA
Rfam family: Bacterial small subunit ribosomal RNA
Source: RNAcentral